RNAcentral lists this unclassified non-coding RNA (1471 nucleotides) under uncultured Venturiales. RNAcentral's name for it is "sequence contains 18S rRNA gene, ITS1, 5.8S rRNA gene, ITS2, 28S rRNA gene". The stretch from base 535 to 1471 matches the Rfam family "Eukaryotic large subunit ribosomal RNA", at positions 1 to 961 of the family's 3401-position model. The record is from RNAcentral. Lineage: Eukaryota; Fungi; Ascomycota; Dothideomycetes.
GGAAGGAUCAUUACUGAGGUUUUUAGGCGCCCGCCGCCUAUCACCCGUCCUUGUGUCAUCGAAUCUCAGAGGGGUGGGCCUGUCUCCGGACGGGUCGACCCGCUGAAGCAAACUUCGGCGGAGGAGUCGGGGCUCGCGCCCCGGCCGCCGCCGGCAAACAAACUCUCUGUGGCAGCCUGAAGUUCACAAAACAUACCAAAUAAAGCAAAACUUUCAACAACGGAUCUCUUGGCUCUGGCAACGAUGAAGAACGCAGCGAAACGCGAAAGGUAAUGCGAAUUGCAGAAUCAGUGAGUCAUCGAAUCUUUGAACGCACAUUGCGCCUCUCGGUAUUCCGGGAGGCACGCCUGUUCGAGCGCCAUUACAAACUCCAAGCCUGGCUUGAUGUUGGACGCCGGCGGUCUCCUCGCGAGGCUGCCCGUCUGGAACGCAUGGGCGCCCGCCGCCGGACCACAAGCGUAGCAAGACUUUCAUUAGUUACCCCGCUGAGUGGCCUCCGACGGCAGGCAUGCCUGAACCCAACCUUACCAAGUUUGACCUCGAAUCAGGCAGGGAUACCCGCUGAACUUAAGCAUAUCAAUAAGCGGAGGAAAAGAAACCAACAGGGAUUGCCUCAGUAACGGCGAGUGAAGCGGCAACAGCUCAAAUUUGAAAUCUGGCGUCUUCGGCGUCCGAGUUGUAAUUUGUAGAGGGAGUCUCGGGCCGAUGACCGGUCCAAGUGCCUUGGAACAGGAUACCGCAGAGGGUGAGAGUCCCGUAUCCGGCCGGUGCAGACGUCCAUGUGAGACCCCUUCGACGAGUCGAGUUGUUUGGGAAUGCAGCUCUAAGCGGGUGGUAAAUUCCAUCUAAAGCUAAAUACUGGCCAGAGACCGAUAGCGAACAAGUAGAGUGAUCGAAAGAUGAAAAGCACUUUGAAAAGAGAGUCAAACAGUACGUGAAAUUGUUGAAAGGGAAGCGUAUACGGCCAGACUUGGUCGCGGAGGCUCAUCCCGUCUUCUGGCGGGUGCACUCCUCCGCGGACAGGCCAGCAUCGGUUUUUGGGGUCAGACAAAGGCGGCGGGAAUGUGACUCCCCUCGGGGAGUGUUAUAGCCCGCCGUGCAAUGUGGCCACCGGGGACCGAGGACCGCGCUCUGCAAGGAUGCUGGCGUAAUGGCCUUAUACGGCCCGUCUUGAAACACGGACCAAGGAGUCUAACAUCUAUGCGAGUGUUUGGGUGUCAAACCCGAGCGCGCAAUGAAAGUGAACGGAGGUGGGAGCUGCGGCGCACCAUCGACCGAUCCUGAUGUCUUCGGAAGGAUUUGAGUACGAGCAUAGCUGUUGGGACCCGAAAGAUGGUGAACUAUACGUGGGCAGCCCGAAGCCAGGGGAAACCCUGGUGGAAGGGCGGCGGGGUUCUGACGUGCAAAUCGAUCUUCUGACCUGCGUAUAGGGGCGAAAGACUAAUCGAACCAUCUAGUAGCUGGUUCCUGC